AAUAUUGCACAAUGGAGGAAACUCUGAUGCAGCGACGCCGCGUGAGUGAAGAAGGNCUNNGGAUCNUNAAACUCUGUCCUUGGNNNNNAAGAAAUGACGAUAGCCAAGGAGGAAGCCCCGGCAAACUACGUGCCAGCAGCCGCGGUAAUACGUAGGGGGCAAGCGUUGUCCGGAUUUACUGGGCGUAAAGGGUGAGUAGGCGGUUAUAUAUGUCAGAUGUAAAAGGCUAGGGCUUAACCAUAGUUAGCAUUUGAAACUGUAUGACUUGAGUGCAGGAGAGGUAAGUGGAAUUCCUAGUGUAGCGGUGAAAUGCGUAGAUAUUAGGAGGAACACCAGUGGCGAAGGCGACUUACUGGACUGUAACUGACGCUGAGUCACGAAAGCGUGGGUAGCAAACAGG
Molecule: ribosomal RNA, 400 nt
Filed under: uncultured bacterium
Lineage: Bacteria
Description: partial 16S ribosomal RNA
Rfam family: Bacterial small subunit ribosomal RNA
Source: RNAcentral